AUACGGAGGGUGCGAGCGUUGUUCGGAAUUAUUGGGCGUAAAGAGCAUGUAGGCGGUCUGUUAAGUCUGGUGUGAAAGCCCGGGGCUCAACCCCGGAAGUGCAUUGGAUACUGGCAGACUUGAGUAUGGGAGAGGAAAGCGGAAUUCCGAGUGUAGGAGUGAAAUCCGUAGAUAUUCGGAGGAACACCAGUGGCGAAGGCGGCUUUCUGGACCAAUACUGACGCUGAGAUGCGAAAGCGUGGGGAUCGAACAGGAUUAGAUACCCCGGUAGUCC
This 274-nucleotide ribosomal RNA is filed under the name uncultured bacterium. RNAcentral describes it as "partial 16S ribosomal RNA". It matches the Rfam family "Bacterial small subunit ribosomal RNA", at positions 523 to 796 of the family's 1533-position model. The record is from RNAcentral.